GAGUUUGAUCCUGGCUCAGAUUGAACGCUGGCGGCAUGCUUUACACAUGCAAGUCGAACGGCAGCACAGGGAGCUUGCUCCUGGGUGGCGAGUGGCGAACGGGUGAGUAAUGUAUCGGAACGUGCCUGGUAGUGGGGGAUAACUACUCGAAAGAGUGGCUAAUACCGCAUGAGAUCUUUGGAUGAAAGCGGGGGACCUUCGGGCCUCGCGCUACUGGAGCGGCCGAUAUCAGAUUAGGUUGUUGGUGGGGUAAAGGCCUACCAAGCCUGCGAUCUGUAGCUGGCCUGAGAGGACGACCAGCCACACUGGGACUGAGACACGGCCCAGACUCCUACGGGAGGCAGCAGUGGGGAAUUUUGGACAAUGGGCGCAAGCCUGAUCCAGCAAUGCCGCGUGCAGGAUGAAGGCCUUCGGGUUGUAAACUGCUUUUGUACAGAACGAAAAGUCUCUGGCUAAUAUCUGGGGAUCAUGACGUACUUAAGAAUAAGCACCG
Molecule: ribosomal RNA, 493 nt
Filed under: Brachymonas sp. canine oral taxon 015
Lineage: Bacteria; Pseudomonadati; Pseudomonadota; Betaproteobacteria; Burkholderiales; Comamonadaceae
Description: bacterial SSU rRNA
Rfam family: Bacterial small subunit ribosomal RNA
Source: RNAcentral